CAGAAGAAAGCCUCUGGGCAGGCAUAACUUCCUCAGCUGGCAUUUAUUUGGCAGAAAACCCAAGCCUCAGUGAAUUUAACUGCGCUUCAGGAAGCAUCCACCCACGACAUCAGUCAGCCUGCGCUAAACCCAGCAGGAUGCUGAGCCCCUUCAGUUCCUCUUGAAGUUGCUCAGUGCUGCGGUGCUCAGGACCUUGCAGGGAUGAAGAUGGUUGUGAAGCACAAAGAAGAAAAUUCUGAGAUGUGUCAGUGAUCCUAGAGGUACCUCAGAUGCCAGCGGCCCUGCACUACAACCUGAAACUUGGCUGAACUUGAGACUCUUGAGAGCCCUCAGCUGGAGUUGUUCUGCUGUGUGCUGCUCCUUCUUCUUCCACAGUGGAGGUGUCAAGGUAGGAAUAUAGUCUGUAUUUCUUUGUCCCU
RNAcentral lists this long non-coding RNA (419 nucleotides) under Parus major (Great Tit). RNAcentral describes it as "lncRNA (ENSPMJG00000002048.1)". Lineage: Eukaryota; Metazoa; Chordata; Aves; Passeriformes; Paridae. The record is from RNAcentral.